GUCCUUCAGCUUCAUGCUGGAGCAGCUAGCAUGUGAUGGAAUGUUGGCCUUGGGGUGGAGGGGUGAGGUGGGCGCUAAGCCUUUUUUUAAGAUUUUUCAGGUACCCCUCACUAAAGGCACUGAAGGCUUAAUGUAGGACAGCGGAGCCUUCCUGUGGCAAGAAUCAAGCAAGCAGUAUUCUAUCGAGACCAAAGUGGUAUCAUGGUCGGUUUUGAUUAGCAGUGGGGACUACCCUGCCGCAACACCUUGCUGGAGUUGAAGCAUCCAAAGAAAAUACUUGAGAGGACCUGGGCUUGUUUUAACAUCUGGAAAAAAGGCUGUUUUUAUAGCAGCGAUUACCAGCCCAAACCUCAAGUUGUGCUUGCAGGGGAGGGAAAAGGGGGAAAGUGGGCAACCAGUUUCCCCAGCUUUUCCAGAAUCCUGUUACAAGGUCUCCCCACAAGUGAUUUCUCUGCCACAUCGCCACCCUGGGCCUUUGACCUAAUCACAGACCCUUCACCCCUCACCUUGAUGCAGCCAGUAGCUGGAUCCUUGAGGUCACGUUGCAUAUCGGUUUCAAGGUUAUGCCCAAUUCGUCUUACUACGUCUGAGUCGACACACCUACUAUUGAAUACUUUGAUUUUAUGAAAUAAAACUAAAUAUCU
RNAcentral lists this long non-coding RNA (644 nucleotides) under Mus caroli (Ryukyu mouse). Its description in RNAcentral is "metastasis associated lung adenocarcinoma transcript 1 (non-coding RNA) (MGP_CAROLIEiJ_G0005280.1)". Lineage: Eukaryota; Metazoa; Chordata; Mammalia; Rodentia; Muridae. The record is from RNAcentral.